GGGCGGCAGACAACUCGGGCUCCCUUCCCGGCACGCUGUAGGGGAAGAAGUGCAGCCUUCUGCCCCGGCUCCCACUGGCGCUCCUCCCAGCUGCUGUUCUAGCGCCCCGUCCUCAGUCAGACCUGUGGCUCUGCCCUGCGUUCUUCUGCUCCCUGAUCCUGCAUGCAAAAUGGGACCUUUCGCCCCAACGCUGCUGAUGCUGCUGCCCCCACUGCUGAUGCUGGUCCUGUACGGCUGCUGGCAAGCAAGAGGCCGGGUCGGAUAUCAGUAUGAGCAUCACCACAGAUCUGGGGAACGGAAUUUAGCACAUUUCCAGGCUGUGAGAUUCAAUGCCCACAUGUCUUUCAACACCGGAAUGGGUAACAAUGAAGGUGAGGUUUUCCAUGAAGGGCAAAGGACCAUCCCGGCUGUGGAGAGGCAGGGGAAUGCUCUGAGGCAGAGAUCAUGAAGGUGACAUUUCCCCGUAUGGAUACCAACACCAUGGGCACCUCUCGCCUUUCUUGAGACCCAGGGCUUAAAUUGGUUUUGAAUCCCACGGUGAUACUGUAAAUGACCCUUCUUUGUCCUGCUCAGUUAUUCAUUUAGCCCUUUUCUGUGCUCUUGUCACCUCAGAGAAUGGGACCACCUUGUCCCAGCACUGUUGAAGUCCUGAAGCCCACUCCUUCUCAGCUCUGGGUGUUGACUUCUCCACAGCUUCACCUGGUAGACCAAGGCUUUCUGCUUCCCAUCGCCCUUGAUGCAUUUCCUCAGAUUCCUGUGUCCUCCCUUCUCUCUUUGUGCCUCCAUCACUCCCUUAACCCUUCUCCAUCCUUGAAUUGCUUUCCUUCCCUUUGAAGUCCCAGAUCCCUACCCCUUCUCCUUAGUUCAGGAUAACAUAAAUACAUCCUUUUGCCUAACUGUCCUUGGAAUCUCAUGUUUAUUGUGAAUUCCUCAUGUGCACAUCAUUAAAUCUGAUUUGAUUUUUCCCCUGAUAA
Molecule: long non-coding RNA, 974 nt
Organism: Mustela lutreola (European mink)
Lineage: Eukaryota; Metazoa; Chordata; Mammalia; Carnivora; Mustelidae
Exons: 3
Source: RefSeq, a predicted model, not a curated record